GCGGAUGGCCGGAUGGCCGCGGUGCCGGAUCCCAUCCGGUAUCGAGGAAAGUCCGGACUCCACGAGGCAACGGUGCCGGGUAACGCCCGGCCGGGGAAACCCGAGGGAAAGCGCCACAGAGAACAAACCGCCCCUGUCCGCAGGGGUAAGGGUGAAACGGUGGGGUAAGAGCCCACCGCGGGCCUGGCAACAGGGCCGGCACGGCAAGCCCCACCGGGAGCAAUGCCGAAUAGGGACCCCGCGCUCCGGAGCUGAUCCGGGGCAGGGCGGCUUCGGCCCAGGGGUCCGGGUUGGCAGCUGGAGCGCACCGGUAACGGUGCGCGCAGAGGAAUGGUCAUCCAGCCCCGGAUCUUCGGUCCGGGGUGGACAGAAUCCGGCUUACAGGCCGUCCGCGCGU
Molecule: RNase P RNA, 397 nt
Filed under: Rhodovulum iodosum
Lineage: Bacteria; Pseudomonadati; Pseudomonadota; Alphaproteobacteria; Rhodobacterales; Paracoccaceae
Also listed under: 1 other name
Description: RNase P RNA component class A
Rfam family: Bacterial RNase P class A
About the family: Ribonuclease P (RNase P) is a ubiquitous endoribonuclease, found in archaea, bacteria and eukarya as well as chloroplasts and mitochondria. Its best characterised activity is the generation of mature 5'-ends of tRNAs by cleaving the 5'-leader elements of precursor-tRNAs.
Source: RNAcentral